This 590-nucleotide ribosomal RNA is filed under the name uncultured Wolbachia sp. Its description in RNAcentral is "bacterial SSU rRNA". It matches the Rfam family "Bacterial small subunit ribosomal RNA", at positions 94 to 719 of the family's 1533-position model. Lineage: Bacteria; Pseudomonadati; Pseudomonadota; Alphaproteobacteria; Rickettsiales; Anaplasmataceae. The record is from RNAcentral.
AGUGGCAGACGGGUGAGUAAUGUAUAGGAAUCUACCUAGUAGUACGGAAUAAUUGUUGGAAACGGCAACUAAUACCGUAUACGCCCUACGGGGGAAAAAUUUAUUGCUAUUAGAUGAGCCUAUAUUAGAUUAGUUAGUUGGUGAGGUAAAGGCUUACCAAGACAAUGAUCUAUAGCUGAUCUGAGAGGAUGAUCGGCCACACUGGAACUGAGAUACGGUCCAGACUCCUACGGGAGGCAGCAGUGGGGAAUAUCGGACAAUGGGCGAAAGCCUGAUCCAGCCAUGCCGCAUGAGUGAAGAAGGCCUUCGGGUUGUAAAGCUCUUUUAGUGAGGAAGAUAAUGACGGUACUCACAGAAGAAGUCCUGGCUAACUCUGUGCCAGCAGCCGCGGUAAUACGGAGAGGGCUAGCGUUAUUCGGAAUCAUUGGGCGUAAAGGGCGCGUAGGCGGGUUAAUAAGUUAAAAGUGAAAUCCCAAGGCUCAACCUUGGAACUGCUUUUAAAACUGCUAGUCUAGAGAUUGAAAGAGGAUAGAGGAAUUCCUAGUGUAGAGGUGAAAUUCGUAAAUAUUANGAGGAACACCAGUGGCGNA